UAUAAUGUUUAAAAGAUCACAGAUAUUGUUAGCCACGGCACUAACUGCUAUGCUAACGCUGGCUUCUGUAGGAUGUGAGCUAUAAUGUUGAUGCUAGCCAAGGUAAGUAGCUAUCACUGAUGUGUUUGUUGUUAGUUAAGCAGCGAUUGAAACGUUUUAUUAUCUAAAUGUGGAAUUAUUUUUUGUAAAGAGAAGCAUUUUAUGUUAAUAACCAUUAAGAAAUGCUAAAGCUAGAUGCCGCUUUUCGCUUCUACAUUUACGUCAACAGCGCCACCAUCUUGUUAAUGUUAAGGGCGGGAGUUCAACCCAGUACCGAGCCAUGAAAGAUGCCAGACUUAAGUGGACAUUGCCGCACAAUGGUCUUCAGUGACUUUGAAAGGACAAAACACUGGUAUCCUGGUGUCGUAGACCAAGAGUUCAAGUUGAGAUAGGUCAGCCUCUCAGGACAAGCUAGACAUCCCGUCCUCUGUCCCCUGAGGUGUGACUUUCUGGUGUUCUACAGUGUCCUGGUGUUGUGGAUCUAGGGGUUCCAGUUAAGACGUGGUCAGCCUUCUAAAGAACGUGGGAAUCUCACCUAAAUAUUCAGUUACUUUGCUGUGUGCCUCGCAAGAACAAAAACUCAAACCUUCAUCUUCUCCUGGUAUCCUGGUGUCACGUGCCAGGGGGUUCAAGUUAAAACGUCAUCAGCCUUCUGAAGACAACACAGUUGAAAAGCGCAGAGAGAUUACCAUUCGCUGCCUCAUAGUCUAUAUUGGAGAGAAGGAGGAGGAUCUUUUCAAACAAUACAGCGUAAGUACUUGACUACUUUUUCAAUUUUUUGUUUUGUUUGAAAUAUGUGUCUGUAGGUUCUGUGUGUUUUUGUUCAUUGGAUUUUCUGUUCAAGUUUGAGUAAUGAAGGGAUGUUCCACCCCUAAGUGAAAAUUUGUCUAUUGCCAUAAUCCCCAGAGUUUGAUAAGUGAGAAAAACACCUUUUGUUACCAGCACAGUAAUUUUCUUGAUCUGGCAGUAAUAUGUCUGCUUUAACUGAGCAUAAACAAUGGAAGUGAAUAGCAGGUAGUAGAAUUUUGUGUGUAAAAGUGAUUAAAAUGACACAAUAAUGAUACCAACUGGAAAAGUUCCUGAAGAAACUUUGAGAGGGCGUGCUACCGGCAGUACUUCCAUGUUGGCAUAAAGU
Nothobranchius furzeri (turquoise killifish) is the source of this 1174-nucleotide non-coding RNA. The record is from RefSeq and is a predicted model, not a curated record. NCBI's taxonomy places the organism in Eukaryota, Metazoa, Chordata, Actinopteri, Cyprinodontiformes, Nothobranchiidae.